UUUCCGUAGGUGAACCUGCGGAAGGAUCAUUACUGAGUGAGGGCCCUCUGGGUCCAACCUCCCACCCAUGUUUAUUAUACCUUGUUGCUUCGGUGAGCCCGCCUCACGGCCGCCGGGGGGCAUCUGCCCCCGGGCCCGCGCCCACCGAAGACACCUAGAACUCUGUAUGAAGAUUGCAGUCUGAGCAAAAACUAAAUAAGUUAAAACUUUCAACAACGGAUCUCUUGGUUCCG
RNAcentral lists this unclassified non-coding RNA (233 nucleotides) under plant metagenome. RNAcentral describes it as "partial contains small subunit ribosomal RNA, internal transcribed spacer 1, and 5.8S ribosomal RNA". The record is from RNAcentral.